UACGUAGGGGGCAAGCGUUGUCCGGAAUUAUUGGGCGUAAAGAGCGCGUAGGCGGUCCGGUAAGUCAGCUGUGAAAGUCAAGGGCUCAACCCUUGAAAGCCGGUUGAUACUGUCGGGCUAGAGUCCGGAAGAGGCGAGUGGAAUUCUCGGUGUAGCGGUGAAAUGCGCAGAUAUCGGGAGGAACACCAAUGGCGAAGGCAGCUCGCUGGGACGGUACUGACGCUGAGGCGCGAAAGCGUGGGGAGCAAACAGG
This 253-nucleotide ribosomal RNA is filed under the name uncultured bacterium. Its description in RNAcentral is "partial 16S ribosomal RNA". It matches the Rfam family "Bacterial small subunit ribosomal RNA", at positions 524 to 776 of the family's 1533-position model. The record is from RNAcentral.